RNAcentral lists this ribosomal RNA (440 nucleotides) under uncultured bacterium. RNAcentral's name for it is "partial 16S ribosomal RNA". It matches the Rfam family "Bacterial small subunit ribosomal RNA", at positions 338 to 795 of the family's 1533-position model. The record is from RNAcentral.
CCUACGGGUGGCUGCAGUGGGGAAUAUUGCACAAUGGAGGAAACUCUGAUGCAGCGAUGCCGCGUGCGUGAAGAAGUAUCUCGGUAUGUAAAGCUCUAUCAGCAGGGAAGAAAAUGCCGGUACCUGAUUAAGACGCCACGGCUAAUUACGUGCCAGCAGCCGCGGUAAUACGUAGGGGGCAAGCGUUAUCCGGAUUUACUGGGUGUAAAGGGGGCGUAGACGGUUAAGUAAGUCUGGAGUGAAAGGCCGGGGCCCAACCCCGGGACUGCUCUGGAAACUAUUGAACUUGAGUGAAGGAGAGGUAAGCGGAAUGCCUAGUGUAGCGGUGAAAUGCGUAGAUAUUAGGAGGAACACCAGUGGCGAAGGCGGCUUACUGGACUGUAACUGACGUUGAGGCUCGAAAGCGUGGGGAGCAAACAGGAUUAGAUACCCCAGUAGUC